Molecule: ribosomal RNA, 252 nt
Filed under: uncultured bacterium
Lineage: Bacteria
Description: partial 16S ribosomal RNA
Rfam family: Bacterial small subunit ribosomal RNA
Source: RNAcentral
UACGGGGGGGGCAAGCGUUGUUCGGAAUUACUGGGCGUAAAGGGCUCGUAGGUGGCCAACUAAGUCAGACGUGAAAUCCCUCGGCUUAACCGGGGAACUGCGUCUGAUACUGGAUGGCUUGAGUUCGGGAGAGGGAUGCGGAAUUCCGGUGUAGCAGUGAAAUGCGUAGAUAUCGGAAGGAACAUCAGUGGCGAAGGCGGCCUUCUGGACAGAUACUGACACUGAGGCACGAAAGCGUGGGGAGCAAACAGG